Long non-coding RNA from Drosophila mauritiana, 1031 nucleotides. RefSeq lists it as uncharacterized. NCBI's taxonomy places the organism in Eukaryota, Metazoa, Arthropoda, Insecta, Diptera, Drosophilidae. The transcript is spliced from 3 exons. The record is from RefSeq and is a predicted model, not a curated record.
UCGAGAAUGAAUAAAGCAAAUAUGGAAGUUGAGUGCGAUAAGUGCAAUUGAUCAAAGGAGAAGAAUUGAAGAAAAUGAUAAUGCGUGUGUGUUCUUAAAUAAAGUAUUGAAGGAGUGGUUUAGUUUUCAAUAUUUGUACUAUCAAAAAAUACUUUUUACUUGAAUGCAGGAACUAUAAAUCGAGCAUUAAAAUUUACAACCCUCAAUGAAGCUAUUUGAAUAUUUCUUAAAUUUCCAUUCCCAAUGAUUAAAAAUGGUGAUUGCUCACCUACGCAGACUCGAUUACAAAUAAAGGCUUAACAUUCAUAUGCAUAUAAAUAUUAUUUGCAGACUUUUUUCCUCAUUUCAGCUCCACUUUCCAGCGGACACAUGCCACAUUUCCCACGGUCAAAGGGAAAAGCGGACGGAGCCCAAGGCCACGCGAGUACAGUGAACACUGGUUGGUGGGGGACGAGGUGGGUGACGGCGAAGGCAUAAAAAACCCGCAGCUGUCAUUGGCAAUAAAAAUAAUAACACCCAUCCAGAGUUCAAAAGUAACAAAAGCAACAGCAAUCAAACAUUUUCGCUGCUUCGGUUUCUUUUCCUUUUUUUUUAUCAAUCACAAUAUAAACACUCAACAAUGGAUGGGGCGAAAACGAGUGUACUACACACACCCCACAGGAAGCGUUUUUCGCGUUUCACUUCGAUAUUAUUGAAGAACGAAAAUACAUAAAAAGGCAUUUUUAAUUUCCACGCAAGCCUCGCUGCCAUAAUUGAAGUAAAAGCCAACGCCAUUUGAUUAUUUGUAUAUAAAUAAAAGAAUGUCGAUUUUUACGAUUUGUUUGACAUGGAAUCAAGCAACACAAAAAGCCAGAUCGAGGCAGAGAAAAAUGAAAAGUUCACAAAUAUAUGGCAGUCUCAUAAAUAGGAGACCAGAAAUCAAUUGACAAUUUAUUGUUUGAAACAUAAAAAAUGAGCGAGUCCAAGUGGACUCGGAGUGUGGAAGGAUGUGGGCUGGAUUCGAGGAGAAAUCUAUAUUAAAUUACAAGCCG